This 290-nucleotide unclassified non-coding RNA is filed under the name Hevea brasiliensis (rubber tree). The record is from RNAcentral. Lineage: Eukaryota; Viridiplantae; Streptophyta; Magnoliopsida; Malpighiales; Euphorbiaceae.
GUGUGACUAAUAAAUGGCAUAAAUUCCCUUCAACCUGUAUUAUGGAAUUACUAAGUGAAAACAUAAAUCGUGAAAACAUAAUUCUAACUGAUAGAUUGCACUCUAUACAUAAAGUUCUUCAGUAAAAGUGGAAAUCUAGCAAUUACAAAACUAAGUAAUUUGCCACUGAAUUGAAUGAUCAAACACAUAGAAGUAGGACAUACCUUCUAGUGAUGAAUUCAACAAAUUAUAGUUCAGCCUUUGAAACUAAAAAAUUUAACUCAAAUUUAAAUUUUGUAUAAGGGUAAUGA